AUUGAACGCUGGCGGCAUGCCUUACACAUGCAAGUCGAACGGUAACAGGUCUUCGGAUGCUGGCGAGUGGCGAACGGGUGAGUAAUACAUCGGAACGUGCCCAGACGUGGGGGAUAACGAGGCGAAAGCUUUGCUAAUACCGCAUACGAUCUAAGGAUGAAAGCAGGGGACCGCAAGGCCUUGCGCGUUUGGAGCGGCCGAUGGCAGAUUAGGUAGUUGGUGGGAUAAAAGCUUACCAAGCCGACGAUCUGUAGCUGGUCUGAGAGGACGACCAGCCACACUGGGACUGAGACACGGCCCAGACUCCUACGGGAGGCAGCAGUGGGGAAUUUUGGACAAAGGGCGAAAGCCUGAUCCAGCAAUGCCGCGUGCAGGAUGAAGGCCUUCGGGUUGUAAACUGCUUUUGUACGGAACGAAAAGGCUCUGGCUAAUACCUGGGGCACAUGACGGUACCGUAAGAAUAAGCACCGGCUAACUACGUG
RNAcentral lists this ribosomal RNA (482 nucleotides) under uncultured bacterium. RNAcentral's name for it is "partial 16S ribosomal RNA". It matches the Rfam family "Bacterial small subunit ribosomal RNA", at positions 30 to 507 of the family's 1533-position model. The record is from RNAcentral.